RNAcentral lists this ribosomal RNA (468 nucleotides) under uncultured bacterium. Its description in RNAcentral is "partial 16S ribosomal RNA". It matches the Rfam family "Bacterial small subunit ribosomal RNA", at positions 28 to 507 of the family's 1533-position model. The record is from RNAcentral.
GACGAACGCUGGCGGCGUGCUUAACACAUGCAAGUCGAACGGAAAGGCCCUGCUUUUGUGGGGUGCUCGAGUGGCGAACGGGUGAGUAACACGUGAGUAACCUGCCCUUGACUUUGGGAUAACUUCAGGAAACUGGGGCUAAUACCGGAUAGGAGCUCCUGCUGCAUGGUGGGGGUUGGAAAGUUUGGGCGGUUGGGGAUGGACUCGCGGCUUAUCAGCUUGUUGGUGGGGUAGUGGCUUACCAAGGCUUUGACGGGUAGCCGGCCUGAGAGGGUGACCGGCCACAAUGGGACUGAGAGACGGCCCAGACACCUACGGGAGGCAGCAGUGGGGAAUAUUGCACAAUGGGCGGAAGCCUGAUGCAGCAACGCCGCGUGCGGGAUGACGGCCUUCGGGUUGUAAACCGCUUUCGCCUGUGACGAAGCGAGAGUGACGGUAAUGGGUAAAGAAGCACCGGCUAACUACGUG